Molecule: ribosomal RNA, 949 nt
Filed under: Bacillus aerius
Lineage: Bacteria; Bacillati; Bacillota; Bacilli; Caryophanales; Bacillaceae
Description: bacterial SSU rRNA
Rfam family: Bacterial small subunit ribosomal RNA
Source: RNAcentral
GGGGCGGCCUAUACAUGCAAGUCGAGCGGACCGACGGUGCAGCUUGCGUCCCUUAGGUCAGCGGCGGACGGGUGAGUAACACGUGGGUAACCUGCCUGUAAGACUGGGAUAACUCCGGGAAACCGGGGCUAAUACCGGAUGCUUGAUUGAACCGCAUGGUUCAAUCAUAAAAGGUGGCUUUUAGCUACCACUUACAGAUGGACCCGCGGCGCAUUAGCUAGUUGGUGAGGUAACGGCUCACCAAAGCGACGAUGCGUAGCCGACCUGAGAGGGUGAUCGGCCACACUGGGACUGAGACACGGCCCAGACUCCUACGGGAGGCAGCAGUAGGGAAUCUUCCGCAAUGGACGAAAGUCUGACGGAGCAACGCCGCGUGAGUGAUGAAGGUUUUCGGAUCGUAAAACUCUGUUGUUAGGGAAGAACAAGUACCGUUCGAAUAGGGCGGUACCUUGACGGUACCUAACCCGAAAGCCACGGCUAACUACGUGCCAGCAGCCGCGGUAAUACGUAGGUGGCAAGCGUUGUCCGGAAUUAUUGGGCGUAAAGCGCGCGCAGGCGGUUUCUUAAGUCUGAUGUGAAAGCCCCCGGCUCAACCGGGGAGGGUCAUUGGAAACUGGGGAACUUGAGUGCAGAAUAGGAAAGUGGAAUUCCACGUGUAGCGGUGAAAUGCGUAGAGAUGUGGAGGAACACCAGUGGCGAAGGCGACUCUCUGGUCUGUAACUGACGCUGAAGCGCGAAAGCGUGGGGAGCGAACAGGAUUAGAUACCCUGGUAGUCCACGCCGUAAACGAUGAGUGCUAAGUGUUAGAGGGUUUCCGCCCUUUAGUGCUGCAGCAAACGCCUUUAAGCACUCCGCCUGGGGGAGUACGGUCGCCAGAACUGAAACUCAAAAGGAAUUGACAGGGGCCCCGCACCAAACGUUGGAACCAUGUGGUUUUAAUUCCAAAGCA